CAGUGUGCGUUCAGGGCGAGGUUGAUCUAGGGUUCGUCGGCUGAGCGGGCGAUCUCCUUAAGCAUUAAGGUUUAGCGCUUUUUGAAAUUUUGUACUCUUAAUUAACAUUUGCACGACGCACCCCGGGCUACUCUGAUUAUCUCCAUGACGGUGAUAGCCCCAUUGCUCGUGCUAGAGUGCUGCCGUUUAGUGUUGCAGCUUGUUUUCUGCAGAUAAAGCAUAUGAAAAUGAAGCUAGUCAUAGAGGCCGAGAUCUAAUCUUCGGCGGUGUUCACGUGGGGGCCUAUCUUUUCAAUGUUUGUGCCUCUAAAAACUUCCGCUAUAUACCUUUUUAUCCCAAUUUGAAUCGAUUUUUCUGGGUUGUUGUUUUGUUUUCUUGUUUAAAAGCUUCGCUUUAAGGGUUAUAGAUGAGAGUUGUUGGCUAUGAUUACACAUUAUCCGCGCUUCCGAGGUUAUACGAUGAAGCAAACUUAAAAACAAAUGGUUGAAUUUCUUAAUAUGAGCCACAUUUCUUCUAUCAUUAAUUUAUUUAAUUUUCGCUAAUUUAGUUGUUGCUUUCAAAUCUGGCCGUGAUGAUUGAACUUCAGCUUAUAUGCCAGUUCUGCUUCAGAAUUUGAUGAUUGAUAAAGCUGUUACAUAUUAUCUGAGCCUUAAAUCUGCAUAUCAAUUUUUCCAAUGAUGAUACAAUCCGUUUGUUUGAGACAUUGUGGAUCCAAGACCCUGUUUCAGGGAGAACCUACUUGGUGAAGCCUUGUUCACAUGAUAUCAAUGGAUUUAACUGAGGGUUCACCAUAUUUAGACAAUAGUUUAAUUUCCAUUUUUUUUACCCUUUUCGUGUUGAAAUCAUUUGAUACAAGAGUUUUUUUUAAUUUGAUUUAGCCUUUGAUGAUACAAUCCAACUUUCUGAGAUGUUGUGAAGCCAAGACCCUGUUUCAGGGAGAACCUACUUGGUGGAAUAACAUUUGUAUGAGUUAUAUGGAUUUCGCUGAGGCUUUUUUUAGUCAUAUUUAAUUUUAAUCUUGAUUCAAAAUUUUGUUUAUUUUACCAUUUUUAUUACUUGAAUACUCACUUUGUUUAGCAUGUUUCCUUGAUAUGAGUUUAACUAUACACAUCCCUUUUAUAAUGUGGGAAUGUAGUCUGAAAAACUCAGAAAUUGUGUGUUGUCAUCAGCUUCUUCUCGCCAAAUUAGGAGGUUGGAGUUAAAUAACAGCACUAAAUUCACCACACCAUUGUAUUUUUCGAUUUUUCAUUUGUUUGUAGUCGUUAUUGUCUUUGUUUUGUUUGUUGUUUGUCUUUGUGUUCUGCAGAUUGAAUUCAAUGCGUGGUGUCUUUGUUGGAAGCCGUGCAAAACAGCAAUCGCCUGUUGUAUCGUAUUCGAAUUUGUAUUUGUAGUUCAUGUUUCUUUGUAAUCUUUCUCGACAAUAAUUUCAACUCCAAAUUGCUAAUUUGCCCAUGUUUCUUUAUCCCAGGUGUCACAGUGAUAUUGAUAUUGUAUUUUUGUUAAUACUAAGAUUAAGUUUGUUCUC
Cucurbita moschata (crookneck pumpkin) is the source of this 1525-nucleotide RNA transcript. RefSeq lists it as uncharacterized. The record is from RefSeq and is a predicted model, not a curated record. NCBI's taxonomy places the organism in Eukaryota, Viridiplantae, Streptophyta, Magnoliopsida, Cucurbitales, Cucurbitaceae. The transcript has 2 exons.